This 73-nucleotide small nuclear RNA is filed under the name Vombatus ursinus (common wombat). The record is from RNAcentral. Lineage: Eukaryota; Metazoa; Chordata; Mammalia; Diprotodontia; Vombatidae.
GUGCUACCUUUGGCAGCACAUCUACUGAAACUGGAAUGAUAAAGAGAAGAUUAGCAUGGCCCUUGUGCAAAGA